CGACAGAAAUGUGGUGUUGAGACAGAACCCUGGACGGGAUACCUGACUGGACCCAGUCACAGAUGCCACAUAAACUUAAGAUUCUGCCAGGCAGGUGCGGAGAUCUGCUCCUCUUGUCGCCACCAAGACAAGCCUCCUAAUUUGCUUUCAGCUGAAUGACAUGGUCAAGAUGGAUGAUCUCCGGGGCAACAGAACCAUAUGAUUGGAGAUUCCAGCCCUGGCCAAAGCUUCGGGGGAGAGAGUGAGACCACAAGCAAGUAGAGCAGCAGCCUGAGAA
Mustela erminea (ermine) is the source of this 277-nucleotide long non-coding RNA. RefSeq lists it as uncharacterized. The record is from RefSeq and is a predicted model, not a curated record. The transcript is spliced from 3 exons. NCBI's taxonomy places the organism in Eukaryota, Metazoa, Chordata, Mammalia, Carnivora, Mustelidae.